RNAcentral lists this long non-coding RNA (1275 nucleotides) under Capsicum annuum. RNAcentral describes it as "long non-coding RNA (CANN_LNC016767)". Lineage: Eukaryota; Viridiplantae; Streptophyta; Magnoliopsida; Solanales; Solanaceae. The record is from RNAcentral.
AAAAACAUUAGAGAGCAGUGUGGUAUUCUACAGAUUGUGAUAAAAAUAGUCUGUGAAGGAAAAAUUAAAGUGAGCGAUAUUUUAGUAAAGUAGAAGUCAAAAGGGGAUUAUUUCUUUUGAGUGUGUGGUAGUCACUUUGAGUAUUGUAUUUGUGACUACGGUGUAAAAUUUCUUACAUAAUAAUAUCAGUUGCUCCUCUUGGUCUGUGGUUUUUUCCCUUAUUUAGAAGGGUUUCACGUAAAAUUCUUGGUGUCAUUAUUUUCAUUUAUUUUCUCUAUUAUUUUUCCACAAAUACUUUUGUUGUUAUUCCACGUUUACCCAAUAAACUGGUAUCAAAGCCCAAGGUUUGCAAUAUCUGUAUUUUUUGGUAAACAAUGGAAGCCAACACAAGUAGAAUGAUUACUUUAAAUGGCGUUAAUUAUGCCAUUUGGAAGGGGAAAAUGGAAGAUCUGCUCUAUGUCAAGAAUUUUUAUCAGCCGGUCUUUGACACUAUAAAAUCUAAAAAUACUAAGAUGAUAUACAGGAUACUUACGGACUGGACCAUGACUUAAUAGCUGAAUAUGAAACUGAUGCAUGAUGCAUGAUGCAUGUACUGAACUGAAUUUUGCAAUCUACUUGGAUACGAACAAACUAUCUCUUGAAAUGGUCAUACUCAAAAAAUUUUAGGUAGUGAGACUAGACUAAAUCAGAAGAUGUAAACUGAAUUUCUGGCUGCACGGACUGAAUCAUGCUGAAUGCUCUCCCCCAAAUUGGUUAUUUAUUCAACACCUUUCUAAGAAAUUUCUAAGGCCAUUAGGGAGUAAGGGACUCUGGGCAUGAUCUGAACAAGACCUCAGAAUAAGGAAUUACAACAUUGCUCUAAAUAUAGCAUGAAACAUAGACCUGUACAUUAUAUGCUAGGAUAGAAUUUCUAGGUCAUAGGCAAUGCAACUUCGUACUUUCAAACUUAGCCACUCUUCUCGAAUAAUCCCUCACUAUACUAUUCCCAUCAAAUACCAUACUCCCUUGAUUUAACUUCUAAUUCUCACAUGGGCAUUGAUAAACCUAUCUACUAAGGUCUAAAAUAAACAUAGUCCUCUCACCAUAAUCAAGCCUAACUCAAAAUUUUCGGGUACUACAUAUGACACCAUAACUGACUGGACUAUCGAUGCGAUAUGUGACGCAUCGCGUUGCCCCCUACCAACGUGAGAUACGAUGCAUCGUGGCCAUAUCGCAUUACCUCACUAUUUUUAGCUCACCCAAAAAAUCUAAAACCUACACGAGAUGUGCUAUUGA